AUAACUUCUAACGCCAUGUCGUUUACAUCUGUAGUACUAUUCUUAUCAGCUUAAUAUCUGAUACGAUCCCCAUGUGGGAUCACGAAAAUUAAACGAUUUUUGGAAAAGGCGAAGUGCUAGGGGCUUGCUCCACUUUGCCGUGGAUCGCCCGGUAUUGCAGUACCUCGGGAUUGGUCCAUCCCCG
RNAcentral lists this small nuclear RNA (184 nucleotides) under Penaeus monodon (black tiger shrimp). Its description in RNAcentral is "U2 spliceosomal RNA". It matches the Rfam family "U2 spliceosomal RNA". From Rfam's summary of the family: U2 is a small nuclear RNA (snRNA) component of the spliceosome (involved in pre-mRNA splicing). Complementary binding between U2 snRNA (in an area lying towards the 5' end but 3' to hairpin I) and the branchpoint sequence (BPS) of the intron results the bulging out of an unpaired adenosine, on the BPS, which initiates a nucleophilic attack at the intronic 5' splice site, thus starting the first of two transesterification reactions that mediate splicing. The record is from RNAcentral. Lineage: Eukaryota; Metazoa; Arthropoda; Malacostraca; Decapoda; Penaeidae.